GUUGUUUUGAUAGUAAUUAAUCAUCAUGUCACAUUUAUGACCGGAAAUGUGUUGAUGUUAAAGGCAAAAAGUUGGGUCAAAAAGAUCGUGAAUUAUGUAAAAAUGACCGAAAAAGCCUUGAAAACUAAAAAGUAUAUGACCGUUCAUGCUUUGCCCAGCCGGACUUUUACCGGACAUUAUACAAAUGACCGGAAUAUAUGACCGUUUUGGAAGCCUUGCACUGAGGCCAUCUCAAAUAAAAGAAGAAAAUUUUAAAUAUGUUUUAAUUUCUUUUUUUCUCCUGUAAAAAAUCUACACAGAUACCUAGAAACAUGACUUUUGCUACUUUUCCAUCAAUCAUUUUGAAAGAAUCUAUUGAAGAUAUCAUGUGUGAUUGCGUGCUUUUUUCUCGUUUUCAUGGACAGCAAUGACAACCAAAUAAAACCCAAACUGUAUAUGUAACUAAUAAUUUCAUAAUUAAAUAAUAAAACCAUAAAAAGGAUUAAAAAAACUCUGUAGUUAUCAAUGACAUAGGAACAGACAUGUGCAAAACUAUAUUGUCUGUAAGUCUAUAAACCCAGGGAUAAUACAAAAGCUGUAAAAAUCUAGUGAUCUUGUCUUUCAUCAUAUAUUUUGUUAUGCAGUGUUCUAUAAAUAGAUCAUCACAAUAAAUCAGAAUAUUGGGACUAGCUGAUAUUUAAGUACUUGCCUUCUCAACACAUUAAUAAUUCAAACAGGACCAGAAAAGCAGUUGACAUUUAUAAAUUAUCGUUGAUCAUCUCAAUGAGAUUGAUUUUCUUGCUUGAGCCGGCAUUGCAAAAGUGAGAACAGCAAUCGAGUUAAGAUGACAAAUGAUAAUCUGUUUAUCGCUAUUACCUAUGACAAAGUUGUCAAUUUCAUUAGCAACACCACAUGCCCCUUUUGUUUCUAGCAAUAAUUUUCAUAUCAAUUGACUCCGCUUAGAAAGGAAAUUAUCAGUCAACAAGAUCAAAGGAAAAUUUCAUAAAAAAGCGAUAAUACUUGUUACAGAUUAAUUGUUGGUGUUUAACACUACUUUCAACACUCUUGGAUAGCUCUUGGAUAGCAUGUUUAAUAUUAGUGGAGGAAGACCAAGUCAUCAGAGAAAUAAUUAGAACAAUGCAUUUUGAUGUAAGGCAUGAAUUAAUAUAUGAGGCUUAGAAAUAAACAGUUAAAAAUUCAUUGCAUAUAGUCUGAUAUG
RNAcentral lists this long non-coding RNA (1198 nucleotides) under Mytilus galloprovincialis (Mediterranean mussel). Lineage: Eukaryota; Metazoa; Mollusca; Bivalvia; Mytilida; Mytilidae. The record is from RNAcentral.